This 320-nucleotide ribosomal RNA is filed under the name uncultured bacterium. RNAcentral describes it as "bacterial SSU rRNA". It matches the Rfam family "Bacterial small subunit ribosomal RNA", at positions 470 to 789 of the family's 1533-position model. The record is from RNAcentral.
UGACGGUACCUGACUAAGAAGCCCCGGCUAACUACGUGCCAGCAGCCGCGGUAAUACGUAGGGGGCAAGCGUUAUCCGGAUUUACUGGGUGUAAAGGGAGCGUAGACGGAUGUGCAAGUCUGAUGUGAAAGGCUGCGGCUUAACUGCAGGACUGCAUUGGAAACUGUACAUCUGGAGUGCCGGAGAGGUAAGCGGAAUUCCUAGUGUAGCGGUGAAAUGCGUAGAUAUUAGGAGGAACACCAGUGGCGAAGGCGGCUUACUGGACUGUAACUGACGUUGAGGCUCGAAAGCGUGGGGAGCAAACAGGAUUAGAUACCCUG